This 251-nucleotide ribosomal RNA is filed under the name uncultured bacterium. RNAcentral describes it as "partial 16S ribosomal RNA". It matches the Rfam family "Bacterial small subunit ribosomal RNA", at positions 524 to 776 of the family's 1533-position model. The record is from RNAcentral.
UACGAAGGGGGCUAGCGUUGCUCGGAAUCACUGGGCGUAAAGGGUGCGUAGGCGGUCUUUAAGUCAGGGGUGAAAUCCUGGAGCUCAACUCCAGAACUGCCUUUGAUACUGAAGAUCUUGAGUUCGGGAGAGGUGAGUGGAACUGCGAGUGUAGAGGUGAAAUUCGUAGAUAUUCGCAAGAACACCAGUGGCGAAGGCGGCUCACUGGCCGAUACUGACGCUGAGGAGCGAAAGCGUGGGGAGCAAACAGG